This is a long non-coding RNA of Ostrea edulis (European flat oyster), 425 nucleotides long. RefSeq lists it as uncharacterized. The record is from RefSeq and is a predicted model, not a curated record. Lineage: Eukaryota; Metazoa; Mollusca; Bivalvia; Ostreida; Ostreidae. The transcript has 2 exons.
UGUCACCAGCAACACCGUGAAAACAUAUUUGAAUGAUUACAAAAUUGGGAAGGCAUUCGAAUAUUGUGAAUCGAACUUUAUAAAAGAAAUAUUUUACCAUCCAAUUUACUCAUCGUCUGCAUUAUGCUUCCUGAGAGCCAAGUGUACCCCUAGUCAAAGACUCAAAGAAGAGAGCCAUACCCUUUGGGUAGCCAUAUCUAAGGAAUCUGGUUGUGUGAAGGUGGCCUUUUGCUCCUGUACUGCAGGAAUGGGUCAGACAUGCAAUCAUGUAGCAGCCCUAAUGUUUAGGGUAGAGUCAGCAAAUAAACUGGGCCUGACUUCAUGUACAUCUUUACCAUGCCAGUGGAAGGUACCAUCAGCAACAACAGAAAUUGUGCCUGUCAAAAUAAAGGACUUAAGUGUUCGAAAGUCUCGUCAUGGACUAG